RNAcentral lists this ribosomal RNA (133 nucleotides) under uncultured bacterium. RNAcentral's name for it is "partial 16S ribosomal RNA". The record is from RNAcentral.
ACGGAGUUAGCCGGUGCUUAUUCAUAUGGUACCGUCAUUAUCUUCCCAUAUAAAAGGAGUUUACACACCGAAAUGCGUCAUCCUCCACGCGGCGUUGCUGCAUCAGAGUUUUCCUCCAUUGUGCAAUAUUCCC